This 270-nucleotide ribosomal RNA is filed under the name uncultured prokaryote. RNAcentral describes it as "partial 16S ribosomal RNA". It matches the Rfam family "Bacterial small subunit ribosomal RNA", at positions 524 to 792 of the family's 1533-position model. The record is from RNAcentral.
UACGUAGGGAGCGAACGUUGUCCGGAUUUAUUGGGCGUAAAGGGCUCGUAGGCGGUUCAGCAAGUCGGUCGUGAAAGCCCGGGGCUCAACCCCGGGAUGCCGGUCGAAACUGCUGUGACUUGAGUUCGGUAGAGGUGAGUGGAAUUCUCGGUGUAGCGGUGGAAUGCGCAGAUAUCGAGAGGAACACCCGUAGCGAAGGCGGCUCACUGGGCCGAUACUGACGCUGAGGAGCGAAAGCAUGGGGAGCAAACAGGAUUAGAUACCCUCGUA